RNAcentral lists this ribosomal RNA (253 nucleotides) under uncultured bacterium. RNAcentral describes it as "partial 16S ribosomal RNA". It matches the Rfam family "Bacterial small subunit ribosomal RNA", at positions 524 to 776 of the family's 1533-position model. The record is from RNAcentral.
UACGUAGGUGGCUAGCGUUGUCCGGAUUUACUGGGCGUAAAGCGCGCGCAGGCGGUCGUUCAAGUCGAGUGUGAAAGCCCCCGGCUCAACUGGGGAGGGUCACUCGAUACUGAUCGACUUGAAGGCAGAAGAGGGAAGCGGAAUUCCCGGUGUAGUGGUGAAAUGCGUAGAUAUCGGAAGGAACACCAGUGGCGAAGGCGGCUUUCUGGUCUGUUCUUGACGCUGAGGCGCGAAAGCCAGGGGAGCAAACGGG